AUAGCAUCAUUUUACACUGAAAUCUAACUCCUACUAUAAUUUAUUAAUAAUCUUAAAGCUUCAACUGAUCCCAUUCAAUAAAAGGGGUUUCUUUUUUUUUUUUAAAUCCCAUUUUGCAGUUGUAGAAUGAUCUUCAAGUCUAUCCAUUUCAAGUGAAAUGUGUUCAAGUUCUUACGCCUUCACACCCACUCCCUCAUGUUUUGGAUUUUGACUUUCAUGCUGGUGGUACCUUCAUCUGUAAUGGCACCUAGAAAGAGGAGCUAAGCAAACAAUUGCUGUGCCUUUCCCAGCUCAAAUGGUACAUGCUGUGGGUGGAAAUGCUAACCUGAAGGACACCUGCACAUCACAGAGAUCCAACUACCCUCCCUUGUGUGAAGUCCUAAAUGGAGGGAAUAGGCCAGAAAAGAAUAAAAGCAGCUCACGAUGUGGAAACUU
RNAcentral lists this long non-coding RNA (435 nucleotides) under Serinus canaria (Common canary). Its description in RNAcentral is "lncRNA (ENSSCAG00000003390.1)". Lineage: Eukaryota; Metazoa; Chordata; Aves; Passeriformes; Fringillidae. The record is from RNAcentral.